GUAAACACACAUCUGUUUGCAGGUUUAUUCAAGUGUGGGUCAAGAUGAAAUGGCGAGGGAGUCACCUUAAUAAUAAGAUGAUGAAAGGAACAGUGUGAAAUACAUUUAUUUCCAGAAUGUAUGAAUGUGGGAAGAAAAUACUAAUUCCUCACCAAAGCCCUGCAAUCAUUGCAUGCUGAAAAUGAAGACAUUUACACCCACUGUAUUAAUGCUGCAAGGGACUUUUUUAUGUGUCAUUAUGACAGGUGGUGGAGGGAGCGAGCCGCAUUCCAGUGAGUGAGCCUGUCCCUGGCUAUAGUACUGGUGUUAGCCCUCUCACUGGUCAAAGCUGAAGGAGUUAAGGGGCAGAGGGAUUAGGAGAGAGACCCGGCUGGGGAAGAUGAACAGGUUUGUAAACACAAAUGAAACCAGUUUAGGUUACAUUUUUUAAGUAAACAAAGGGAUUUUACUCUACUGAAACAUUACUGUUUACAACUUCAGAACGAGGUACACGUAAUUUUCACCUGCGAGCUGAUAUAUAUGUAUUAAUUAGGUAUCUGUCUAAAAAGUGUUAGGAGAGGCAAUAAUUUUGAAAUCAAACGGAAACAGAAAGAAACUAGAAGACCAAAGAAGAAUUAAUCUUAAUCAAAGAGGGAUAGUCAAUUGUGGACAAAAGAUGGACUUUGAGAAAGUCCCCAAAAGAAAGCUUAGCCAAGUCAAAAUCAGAAUGCAAGGUGAUCCACAGGGCCAAGUGCUUUGAAUCUUUAAACUCAAUAACCUGUGUUGUCAAGGAAGUGGAUACCAGUAUUACAAGGCCCUUCCUUGGACGUCCUUUCUCAUACAGUUUAGUGGCCUUAAUUUCAUGGGCAAAGUAACCCUCCAGGACUAUAUUGAAAGUUGUCCAGGUUUCUUGCAACAUUAUCACAUCGAAACGCGUUAUAUACUCUUGAAAUGACUCAUCCCCUACUUUGUUGGCACAACCUGCUAUGUUCCAUAAAACAAUAUUUAGGCUACUCUCGUCCCCGGCGAUUUGGCUUCAUUGUGGAGGGCAGAUUGUAGUCAGCUCUCCCUCUGUCUCAGUUAUAACACAACCAUUCUUGAGGUGUUUGAAGUGUUGUUCUUUUUGGGGUUGUUUGACAGACUUGUCCAGAUUGCCAGCCAUCAGCAGUAGUGUUCAAUUGUUUGUGGCUUUCGGGGGAUCGGAGUCUGGCAGUCUUGGUGUAAUGCUUUCCUCGGGUGGGGCAACGCCUGGCAAUGGAUGAUCUGUUUUCUGUGAAAAUGGUGAGUGGUGGAUUUCGAGAUCUACCAAAGUCCUGGUGGAAGAACUGAUUUUUGGCACAGGGGAGUUGGGCAAGCAUUAUUUGUGUGCUUGGCCAUUAAACUCAGAAGGUUUUCUGUCCUGGGGGAUGUUUCGGCCAAAUUCUCCACCCAGAACCUGCCUUAGUGGCACUGGGGUUUGUGCCUUAAACCUUUGGCAAAUGCCCGCUGAUGAUGAGGGCUUGGAUUGAUUGGAGUCAGUCCGACUGCACAGAAGAUUCGGCAGUAAAGGCUUUAAUUGUGUGUCUUCAGAAACAUGCCUCAAGAUAAUUUUAUAAUCCUAUAGGCAGGUCUUGUAUUUCAGAAGUAGUUUUGGAAUAACUGAAUCAGAGAACGAUAAUAAUAGUCUAGAAUGCUGAGAGUCCGAUGAAAGCAGGUUUACCGUGGUAAGAUUGUCACGCUGGAUGUUUAGCAACAGUUUGAAAUUUCGCUUUGCACUUGCGAUUGAAUUCCAGAAAGGGAGCAGACCAUUAAAAGGGUAACCAUCGAGAACUACUUGAGAGCUUUGCAGGAUUAGUUUGCUGUUUUCAUGUUUGUUAUUCUUUCUGUAAGAGGUUUUACGGGUUCUGGCACAAGAACAGCUACACCCCUGAGUUUGAAGAUCUUGUUAAGAGCUGUGCCAGACUCUUGGGUGGCAAUAGGACUGUUCCGGGUUGCCAACAGCGCCAACUCAGCCAGGAGGGACACUACCUUUUCUAAUUUGAGGUUAAUUUCCUCUACCAUUCUUGCUGUUAACAAACAGUGGUCCGCAAAUACAGUACUUCAGCAUAAGGUGGUACACCCUCAGCUGGUUUUUUGUUUGUUUUUUUAAAUCUCAUUUUCUGUAAGAUUGGUGGAAGGUGACUAGGGACAAACUAGUGAUUCUAGAUGUCUCUGUUCUGCCCCUCUAGAUUAAUGGCUCAUCCAGCUUCAAAUAAAAUGGCGGACAAAAUGGUAUUCCAUGACUGAAGGACAUUUAGGUGAGUAUCCCUUGGUUGGCUAAGGAGAAAAUCUCUACUGUGUUCCGUCUGCAACUCAUUGCGCUAAGACUCUUUCAGGUUGCGGUGACUGAGUUGUCAGAAGAGGCCCUAUUCCGUGUCAUCACGAUGAGGUUCACCUGCAGGUAGGAGAACACUACUUCUUUUCUUCCAGCUUGUCUUUCCUUCAGGUUUCUCAGAGUAUCCCUUGCAUGGCUAGGGGGAAAUCUCUAUUGUGUUCUGUCUGCAACUCAUUGUGCUAAGAUUCUUUCAGGUUGGGGUGACUGAGUCAUCAGAAGAGGCCCUAUUCCGUGUCAUCACGAUGAGGCUCACCUGCAGGUAGGAGAAGACUUCUUCUUUUCUUCCAGCUCUUCUUUCCUCCAGACUUCCCAGAGUUCACUGUUCUUGAAGUGAGAGUCACCAGCAUUAGGACUGUGCUGCUUUAGGUAAGUUCACAUUGCACCACUCAGUCGUCUGUUUUCAAAACAAUGUCUUUGGUAUUGGUCUCUCCUUUUCCUCAUUUUCUUUUCUGCUGGUCUCUCCACAGGGCUCCCCAAAGAGCUCUUCUUAACAUCUUAAGGUUUUCUUUUUCCUGAGAGAACAUUCACAGAAUGUUCUCUCAGGUUUUGCUUUUCCCCUUGUUGCAUUGCUCAAAAAAAAAAGCAAAAGACACUGGUGGUUGGCGCUCCUGGUUCCCAGGACGGGGUUCAAAUCCCUGCGGUGUCCAUGCUUACUUCCAAUGCAACUGCUAACACUCUCUACCCCUAUCUCUCUAUGUCUCUCUAUCCAUCUCUAUCUCUCUAUGUCUCUCUAUCCCUCUCUAUCUCUCUAUCCCUCCCUGUCUCUCUCUCCCUCUCUCUCCCACACUGCCCAAAUAAUGAUCCAGACAUGUAUCUAUGCUUCUUGCGCAUGCAGGCUUUUCACAGCAUCCACGCAGCAUUGCUGGAAUCAAAAUGCCAGCCACUAUCCUUCCCUCACCCCCAGCCAUUUAAUACAGAUUUACAUUUUGGGUGGGAAAUCCAAAAAGUUACCGAAAACUGUGUCACCUGCCAAUGAUCAGUUUGCAAUAUUCAGCCCCCACCUGGAAGAACCCCGAGACUGAGAGGUAGCAGAAUCAGGUGCCUGCUUAGCGUCAACAUGCUCAUCAUUAACAAAGGGCAGUCUGCCUUGGCAUUAGGAUGUGGUUUAGGCAUGUGGCUGUGAGAAAGUGUUUGCUUAGGAAGUGGCAACAGAAAGGUGGGGCUGCAAAGGAUUUCAGAGAAGUAAGAAGAUAUGAUCUUCUGUUAGCCGAGGAUUAGCCACAACUAUUCAGGCACUUAGUUCACUCCCUGUGCUGUUAUUUAGCUUAGGGGUUAUCCCCACUGUUUUUCCCCCCAGCGCUAAAACCCGCUUUUCAGCAAUAACGCAAAAAGCAUUUCUAAAUCAAUUACAUGCCACUGUGCUGUGUAACAUGCAUUUGUAAUAUCAAGGUUUUGGGGUUAUCCCAUUUCCCCCUGUCUCUUAACUCCUCCUCUGUGCCACUUCCAUCCUCCAUCAGGCCCCUGCAUGCUAGAUGCAAGGCAGCAAGUUUUUAUAGAUAUACUUUUCAAAUUUAUACAUUUCAUUAACUGAACAGUCAUUUUAAUAUUUCAGAGUUUGACUUCCUUCCCCGUCUUACUGCAGUUCCUUAAAUUAUUUUUUAAAAUAUCUUCUGCAUAUCCAAAUUCACUUAAUUUGCUCAAUUAAUUAUCUGCUUUAAAUCUAGGUAAAGGUAAAGGACCCCUGGACGGUUAAAUCCAGUCAAAAGUGACUAUGGGGUUGCGGCGAACAUCUCACUUUCAGGCUGAGGGAGCCGGCGUUUGACCACAGACAGCUUUCCGGGUCAUGUGGCCAGCAUGACUGAACCACUUCUGGGGCAACGGAACACUGUGAUGGAAACCAGAGUGCACAGAAACAGUGUUUAUCUUCUCGUCACAGCAGUACCUAUUUAUCUACUGGCACUGGCAUGCUUUUGAACUGCUAGGUUGGCAGGAGCUGGGGCAGAGCAGCAGGAGCUCACCUCGUUGUGGGGAUUUGAACUGACAACCUUCUGAUCAGCAAGCCCAAGAAGCUCAGUGGUUUAGACCACAGUGCCACCUGCGUCUUAAAUAUAUAGUCUUAUGAAACUGCAGGUUAUUACAAUAAUCCUGCCAAUGUUUUUAUCUGUUUGCAAUUUAGCUGUAUAUAUUCAAUAAACCAUUUCCAUUCUUUUA
Podarcis lilfordi (Lilford's wall lizard) is the source of this 4483-nucleotide non-coding RNA. NCBI's taxonomy places the organism in Eukaryota, Metazoa, Chordata, Lepidosauria, Squamata, Lacertidae. The record is from the annotation of a GenBank genome assembly.